CUCGAUUACAAAUAUAUAUUUGCAUCAUGUGGCAAAUUUCAAGGGGCAACAUAGAGAGUUAGCACAAAACAAGUCCCACAUCGGAGGUCUUGUAAGCUUACAAAGGUCAAAGUAAAAUAAGCGCUUGUGUUGCAUCCUUCUACGAUGUUUAUUAGGAAUCAAUAGGAUCAGUGAAUAAAGUAGGGAUUUCAUAUGAGACAGGAUGUGGAAGGUGAAAGGGGAAGAAAGCAAGGAAGGAUAGGAAAAUUUGAACUCACAUCCUUUGAAAUAAGCGCUUGUGUGGUACCGUAAGAAAUGGAUCCAAAACUUUCAAUAGUGUCAAUCCUUUUUCUAACAACUACAUAUAUGAAGCACGAAGAAUAUACUAAGUAGGGUUUUCUUGAACUUUAUAUCAAUAACUUCUUCCUUAACGAUUUUAUUGAAGAUUAAGUUCAUCUAGUGCGAGACCAAGACUUUGAAGAUUUCUGAAAUAUCAUUGGUUUGCUGUUUAAACAAGGGCGUAUAUAUGGACGCAAACAAGUUCGGUCUACCUGUUUAAAAGACUAAAACCAACACUUUAUCAGCUUGAUUUUAUUUCUAGCAACUGACUCUUUUUGGUUCCUUAUUCUCAUUAGUCCAUUGUAAGAUACAUGAUAAUGGAGCGAUGCGAAUAAGAAAACAAGAAAGAUCGAAUUUGCUAGAACAAAAAAAAAAAAAAAAAAAAAGGUGGUGGAAAAUUGUCUUGAACCUUCUUAAUCAAGCUCGAUGGACUUGUUUGAGACCAUGUAUAAGCUUGUUUAAAUUGCAACAAUAUAUCAUUAAAAAAAAAACUUAAAAGUCUUAGUUGUACCACUUAAACCUCUUUUUCAACGGGUUCAUUGAAGUAAAUUCCACUUGCAAGUGAGUAUUAAAGCAAUAAUGAUCCUUAUUAGUGACUAGUUUAAUGAUCGGAGUGAAUGUGUCAUGGAAAUCAAAUUUUUAUUGUUUAUGAAUCCCUUUAGUAAGAAGUCUAGAUUUUUACUUGUUGAUUAAUUAAGCCUUUAAGAUUUUCCUUUACAUGAAACACUCGUUUUCUACAAAAAAAGAAGAAGA
RNAcentral lists this long non-coding RNA (1071 nucleotides) under Medicago truncatula (barrel medic). Its description in RNAcentral is "lncRNA gene20916". The record is from RNAcentral. Lineage: Eukaryota; Viridiplantae; Streptophyta; Magnoliopsida; Fabales; Fabaceae.